CAGCAAUCCGCUGCGAACAUGUUGUCAUUCCGAGUUUUACCUGAUUAAUUAGAUAAGCACUGACUGACCAAGCGGAAGAUUUUGAUCAAAUCAGAAACAAUUUCCAUUGCAAAUUCCUUUUCCUUAAUGGCUUAAGACGGGACAUCGGAGGUAGAGAGACCGCCAACCGCCUCUCUUUCCAUUGGCUUUCCGUCUAUUGUCUGGCCAAUUCUCCGAUCAGAUGGAUAGUGAAACUGGUAAUCAACACAAGCAAGAACGAUCAAGAACAAGAUGGACAGCAUCCCUUGAUAAGAUAUUUGCAGACUUGGUGGUGAAACAUAUUCAACUUGGAAAUAGACCAAACAAUGUUUUUGAUAAGAAAACUUGGAAUCACAUACGUGAUGAGUUCAAUAAGCAGACAGAUCUAAAUUUCAAUAAUAAUCAAUUGAGAAAACACCUAGACGUACUGCGGACCCGCUUCUAUAAUUUAAAGUCGGCUAUUGUUCAAAAUGACUUUGCAAUGGAGGAUUCUUGCUGCAUUGGAUUUGAUCUGUGUGAUGACGUUGGGUCACAAUCAAGGCCUGAGGCAAUUAAAGUCAAGGACUGUCCCAUAUAUGAGCAGUUAUGCACAAUAUUCACAGAUACAUCAGCUGAUGGAAAGUAUGCCCAAUCAAGUCACUUUGAAGGGUUGGGAAAAUCUUUUAGAAAUGAUGUUACGGGCUUAAGUUCAAAUCCAGUUGGUGGAUCCUCUCAUCCUGAAAAUCCAUCUUCAUCAAGACCAGUGCAAGGAAACUGUUCAACAGCAGAUAAGAUAGUUAAGAAUAUAUCAGAGAAAAAGAGGAAACGGCCUUCUGAGACACAGCCCUCUUCUGGUCAGAAUAAGAAGGAUCAAGAAAUAAAUGAAGCUAUGGCAGAAGCCUUGUUGGAGAUGGUGGCUGCUUCAAGGUGGAGAAAGGCUGCAGCUGCACCAUUGCAAAACCAUAAAAAAUUUACCAUAACUAAUUGUAUUAAAGUUCUGGAUGAGAUAGGAGACAUUGAUCAACAGCUGUACUUUGCAGCUUUGGACCUGUUUGAGGAGCCUAACUUGAGAGAGACAUUUAUCUCUUUGAAAGGUAAUCAGAUACGGCUGACUUGGUUGCAGGGGAAGUGCGGUAAAUCCACCAUUUUCUUGUAGGUUAAGGGAGAGGUUGUGGCCUUUUUAAUCCCUAGAGGUGUAAACAUCAUAUUUAGUUACUCCUAUCUUAUUUUUGGCAAACAAGGUCUUUUAAGUCGGGGGUUUAACCAAUACCAGAAACUAGGUCUAUACAAGCGUGUAAAUUGUGAUUACUUGACGAAUAGGCAAUCAAAGUUGUUUAUUGUUGAAGUGAUUUCAGGCCUGAUAACAUCAAGAUAAGACACUGCAUGCUGUGUGGCUCUUUUCGAGGCAGUUAUACCAUUUAGGUGAUACUUUGAAAUGUUCUGAACACGAACCGACAUAUGCAUCGCUAUUAAGAAUCUUAAGUGUAGCAAGGUCCUCAGGCUAAGGGCAGUGCCAGGGGAAGCCCUUCUUCCUAUGUAAGACACAGUUAUGUUUUCUGGUCGUGAUCUGAAUGAAUUCAUGAUGCAGCGCCAAAAUGAUCAAGAUACGUCCUGCUAAUUGUCAUAGACAACAAAUUAGUUGGGCAGAGAAUAGUUGGAUUGCCUUGAUGGUCGAAUGUAUUUCCCAAAUGCAAUUCAUCUGAAAGCAAUUAAAUUAAAUACUAUUUUCUUUCUUUCCUUAUUUUUCUUUUCUUCUUCUGUACAAUGAAUCAUGAUCAUUCUCUCAUGCAUUUGAACCCUAAAGUCUUUUCAAGUCAUUAUAGGAAAGGCAUUACAAUCAAAGACAGGCCAACAUUCUCUCAAAGAUUUCUUAAUUAAAAUAUUAAAGCCUAAGCCGCCUUUGAAAGGGUAAAGAUAUUGAUUGAAUAUAUUACAAACCCACGAAAAAAUCUGAUCCCCUAUCAACCCUAGUGUCACUAACAUGAAAAAACUGAGGAAAACCAUAUAAAUAGCGCAACUCUUAAGGUGCAGUGGCUUCAAUUGAUAAACACACCGAUAUACGGUGUACCCUGAUGCAAAAUUUAGGGUAAAGAUGUAUAUUUCUUUUAAGUGUACAUAGGAUGCUGCAUGAAUGUUGAGUCAGAAAUGGAAUUCGCUUGGCACCUCAUGCAGAAGAAAUAUGUUGCUACUCUUCCUGCACGCUGCACCAACUUCUCAACAGAACUGGCCUGUAGAAAUGCAUAUGAAGCCUAGAGUCCUAUCUCUCCCAAACAGCUGUAAAAGCACAACACGUAUUAAACAUUAAGUUCCAUAGAUCACUGGGAAAUUUUUCUUCGUGGGCGAAAAAGAAAAUCGGACAGAAACCUUAACCUGCAAAUUACAUAUAUUUGUUUCUCCAAGGAAAAUUAUCAUGCACUUUCAUCGUCUUUUUGGUCUUGCCUCGCACUUUCAAGUUUGUAAACGUCCAGCAUUUCUUCUUCUAGGGGAUGUGUGUUGCCCACAAUUACAAGACAAUGCAAGGGUGCUCCAAAAUCAACUGCCAGCAGUUGCUUCAUUGUCCCAGCAACUAUCAUCUGAUCCUCACUUCCCAACCGAGCAAAGCCAACACAGCUAGUGUCUUCAUUGUAUGCAGAUUCCCCACGUUUUUGCUCAAUCUCCAAGAGUUGAUCAAUUGCAUUGUUUAUAGUCAUGUAUCUAGGGGGUUCAUACUUCUUCCUUCCUCUGGACAAGGAUUCCCAUGAAGGUUCCUUUACUCGUAUAUCCAGUAAACAAAGUGUAUGCAAUCCAAGUUCACGAUUUCUUCUUAUCUUUUCAUAAAAGCUAUCAGGUCUCCAAUUAUCAGUAAAAAAAGGGAUUGAAACAGUCUCUCCAUAGCGAUAUAAUUGUAAUCCACAAAUCCCAACCGCAUUCAUCACAGACGCAUUGUGUACCACUUUGACAUCAACCCCCAAUUCCUUAGCUCGAACAACAAGAUCUGUAUGUGUUGUAGCUCCAAAAGGAUCUCCAACAACAAGGAAAGCAACAUCAGAAGUACGAGCUGAUGACAAUAUAUCAUCAGCCUUCUCUUCUACCAUCUCUCUAUCAGCAAUGGCAAUUGGUUUCCCAUACAAAUUUUCCAGAGUGGAAAGUCCAUCAAUGGAGAGACCAAAGGAGAGAAGAGAAGUGUAGGCUUCCAUGUACACCUUCUCACAUUUCUGCACAGCUUCUAGACCUCUUAAAGUAAUAUCCUUCUCAUCUCCCAAUCCUAGACCUAUUAUGUACAACAUCUUCUCUUGCUUAUCUGCUAAACCCUAGAUAUUAUGCAAGAACGUUGGAAACAGCUCUUUUGUAUCUUCAAUUCAGUCAAAGAAGCACUCUUGCUGCCCAAUCGCUCCAAGCCUCCUAAAAGAGCUGAAACACUAGUGCUGCCUGCAACUGCUAUUUUGUUUCUUUCCCCACGGUAGCAUGUAGUUAACAACAACGCCACCGUUUCUGUCUUU
RNAcentral lists this unclassified non-coding RNA (3476 nucleotides) under Hevea brasiliensis (rubber tree). Lineage: Eukaryota; Viridiplantae; Streptophyta; Magnoliopsida; Malpighiales; Euphorbiaceae. The record is from RNAcentral.